AAGCUUCUCCCAUGAUACCAUGAUCACGAAGGUAGUUUUCCCGGGCCAGACUUAUCCAAUGCACUCCAGAUGUGCUGACCCCUGCGAUUUUCCCAAAUACAGGAAAUUCAACUACAUAAUUUGUGGUAGUGGGGGACUGUGGUCCUGCUCUCCUUUU
Small nuclear RNA from Cricetulus griseus (Chinese hamster), 157 nucleotides. Its record names the gene U1. It matches the Rfam family "U1 spliceosomal RNA". Rfam says of the family: U1 is a small nuclear RNA (snRNA) component of the spliceosome (involved in pre-mRNA splicing). Its 5' end forms complementary base pairs with the 5' splice junction, thus defining the 5' donor site of an intron. There are significant differences in sequence and secondary structure between metazoan and yeast U1 snRNAs, the latter being much longer (568 nucleotides as compared to 164 nucleotides in human). Lineage: Eukaryota; Metazoa; Chordata; Mammalia; Rodentia; Cricetidae. The record is from Ensembl.